UGGAAGAAAGAGACCACUGCCAGUCAGGGUCACCCAACUCUGAGCAGACAAGGGCUGCCAAUAUACAGGUGCUUGGGGGAUAGAGGAAGCUGCAUCUGGAAGAGGAGAAGCAACCUGCCUGAAGUCUUCCAGAGCCUGGAUUCAAACCUUGGCCCUUCUCUGCAGACAGGAAGACACUCUCUGCCUUGCUUGCGUACUUCCCUGCUCUUUGCUAACCCAGGGUAACUCAGGGGCUCCUAUAUGUCCUGGUGGGUGGACGCCUGCUGCUCCAGACCCAUUUGGGGCCAGCUCCUUGGCAGUGCCUCGCCCACCACAUGAGGGGCCUGCCCUGCCAGAGUGGGAGCUAGAGCCAGAGGCUUCUUUGUAAUUUGCUCUGCCAGCCCGACCUCCUUGUCUCUCUCCCAGCUGCAAUGGAAAAUCUGAGAAGGUGGUCUGCUUUUCUGGCAGACGUCGGCCCCAGCAGGCUGGGAUGGUGCAGCUCAGCAGGGACAGGCCCGCUGCAGCCUGGCAAAGGGACCGCUGCUAGGUCGGAAACAUAUAUGGGGGAAUUAGCAGGGAGGAAGACUGUUAAUUCUGUAACAGCAAGAGUCGUACUAAAUAUCUUGUCUGCAACAAACAACAAAGAUGCUUCUCACCUGCCGGUGACAUUUGUUAAUAUAUUUAAUAACAAUAACAGAAGCUACUAUUGAAGGAGACCCUGCUCUGGGCCAAGAGCUGAACUCAGCACUUUUUAGACAUUGACAUCCCCCAGGGUGUGAAGUAUUAUUGUCCCAUUUUUCAGAACCAAAACUGAAGCUCCAAGAGAUGGUGUGAAUUGUGUGAGGUCACACAGCAAGAACACAGCUGAGCAGGACUGGAUGCAACUCCUCCUGAUUCUGAAGAUCAGCUCUUUCCUCCCCCCGACACACGGGGUCAUUUUAGCCAAAUGCCCAGCCUGUGAAGAAGCUGAACCAUCCCUCUCUUCAAGUCAGAGUUACUCAAGGGCAAAGAGUAGAACAGUUUUAAUUCACUUUGCUUCCUUCCCUCUCCUUUUGAAUUGGAAAUGUCCCCAAAACCAUGUAGCCCUCUGCAACUUUCCUCUCAAGAAGCUCUGGAUAUGUUACUAGCCCAUUUCACAGAUGAGGAGACUGAGGCCUGCAGAAAGAAAGUAGCUGCACAACUGCCACGCUCAGUAAGACUCCUCCCCUGUGUGGCUCUCAGAUGGAUGCCUGUUUCCUGCAGCUCCACAAUAGGGUGAACCUGUGCUGAGAGAACCACGAAGCUUUUGCUUUUGUGCUUUAUAUAGCCUAACACUAUAGGAGUCACAGCAGCACACUGCUGUGUAUGGGUCUGCCGUUCACUCAUUCACUCAUUCAAAAACCCUCCAUGCAAACCAUCUGUGAGCUCUGGCUGGGCACUAGAGACUUCACAAGGGAUCAGACACACCUUGACUACCAGGAGCUCAGAAUCUACGUGAUCAACGUGCACAUCCCCAGAUCCGACUCGAACAUGGAGUGUGAGGAAAGACAGUUCCAUCAGAUCCAGAGGACACACAGAAGGAGACCCCAGGCUGCCAGGAGUCAGGGAAGGAAACAUUUGAGCUGAGAGCUGAAGGAGGAGCUGAUUUUGCUCAGGUGGACAAGCUGGGAAAGACACCCCAGGCCAAGAGCACAGUAUCUGCCACACCCAGAGGCAGGAAAGACAAUAGGGACCCCUAAGCCAAUUGGGGUGGCCAAAGCACAGAGCAGCAUCCUGGACCCAAUACCCCACCAGCAUCUUAGGACCAUCUCCUCACCUAAGUGGGUCAUGACCAGAAGAACCCUACACAGGGGGUGGACUUGAGGAUGGCUGUUACUUUUAGGGAAACAACUUCCUAAAUAAAGUUCUUACCAAGGAGAAGACCCUACCCUAAGCCCUGAAGUCCAGGCAGCCUCUACGGCUUUGGACCAGCCGGUGACGACUUCUCUUGGUCAUUAAUCACAGCAUGUGCUAAUGUUUGAUAAAUUGCCCAACAGUUGCAUUAGCUAAUAACUCCCCGAACAAAACCAGAGAGUUCAUCUGUUUUUAUAAGACGCCCAAGAGCAUCCUGGGAACAGGCACGGUGGUCGUGAAUAAAAGAGAAACAUUCAUUUAUGGUAAUUGGUUUCAGCUCCUCACUUGGCUGCUUGUCCUGACCUAAAUGUAUCCAGUUGUUCCCUCUGCCUGGCUCUGGUUUGGGGGUCACUCCUAAUGGUUUAAUUCAACAAAAAAUGUCUGCCAUUUCCUGUAACCUCUGUCUUUUUUCACCCUCCUCCCAAACGGUUUUCUUGCAAGCAGCAUCUCUGCAAGUCGCUCCCAGAGCUGUUUCCUUCUCGGGGAACAAAGUCAAG
This 2348-nucleotide long non-coding RNA is filed under the name Homo sapiens (human). Its description in RNAcentral is "HSALNT0006470". The record is from RNAcentral. Lineage: Eukaryota; Metazoa; Chordata; Mammalia; Primates; Hominidae.